RNAcentral lists this transfer RNA (70 nucleotides) under Helianthus annuus (common sunflower). It matches the Rfam family "tRNA". Rfam says of the family: Transfer RNA (tRNA) molecules are approximately 80 nucleotides in length. Their secondary structure includes four short double-helical elements and three loops (D, anti-codon, and T loops). Further hydrogen bonds mediate the characteristic L-shaped molecular structure. tRNAs have two regions of fundamental functional importance: the anti-codon, which is responsible for specific mRNA codon recognition, and the 3' end, to which the tRNAs corresponding amino acid is attached (by aminoacyl-tRNA synthetases). tRNAs cope with the degeneracy of the genetic code in two manners: having more than one tRNA (with a specific anti-codon) for a particular amino acid; and 'wobble' base-pairing, i.e. permitting non-standard base-pairing at the 3rd anti-codon position. Lineage: Eukaryota; Viridiplantae; Streptophyta; Magnoliopsida; Asterales; Asteraceae. The record is from Rfam by way of RNAcentral.
UAGUUCAGUUCAGUGGUAGAACGUGAGUCUUCAAAAUCUGAUGUUGUAGGUUCAAAUCCUACAAAGCUAG